UUUUUUAGAAGAAUUUGGGGCGAAAUGCUGCUCAAAUUUUGGUGUAGUAAGAAUGUGCAAACACCCCCUUUUAUAGGGUUGUAAACAUAACUUUUGGUGGCAAUUUUAAUUGAAAAGUGGCGCCAGUUUUUUUCAUGUUUAAUGUGUUCAUUUUUUUCGGCUAUUUGGAGGGAAUUAGGCAGCGACAAUUUUGGGAAAUGAACAAAAAUUUAAAGAAAAAAAAGGAAUAAAUAGAAAUAAAAAAAAUGUGGCAGAAAUUAAUUUAAUGAAAUUUUCGAAUU
Molecule: long non-coding RNA, 281 nt
Filed under: Salvia miltiorrhiza (redroot sage)
Lineage: Eukaryota; Viridiplantae; Streptophyta; Magnoliopsida; Lamiales; Lamiaceae
Description: long non-coding RNA (SMIL_LNC003331)
Source: RNAcentral